GAGAAGUGUGGGGAGGGAAUUACAUCUCACCUUCUGUCUAAAGAUCAAGACAUACCCAUCUCACUCAGUCAUCUCCAGUGGCAUGUUGAAGAAGUCAACUAUCUGUUCUCACUCUGCAAAUGUAGACAAAGAUGUGUCCUGCCCUGAAGAUCUGGUGGGCUAAUUCAUAGCUCCAACAUGAAUGGUACAUAUGUUCAAGAUAAAAUUGUCAAGCUUGAUGUUGUGAGUCAUCUCAACCAACGCCUACAAGUGGAUUCUGGCUGCCAGAGGAAUUACUUCGCACUGUGACAAAG
RNAcentral lists this long non-coding RNA (293 nucleotides) under Gallus gallus (chicken). The record is from RNAcentral. Lineage: Eukaryota; Metazoa; Chordata; Aves; Galliformes; Phasianidae.